ACAAGUUGACACAGGCUUAUAGUGAUCCAACAUUCUUGGGUAAAAGGGCAUUCUAGGAGAAGAUGGAACAGAGUUUCUUCCUUAUUAUGUGCACACACUUUGCCACCUUUCCUCCUAAACAAACACUUUGCGGCCGGCUCGAUUAAUAAACAGUUCGACAGAAACUAAUUGUAAAGUGCGAUUUUUUUUCAAGGAACAUAGGAAGAGACUAGUCCAACAUAUGCAUGUGAUGGUAUCCAACAUCCAUGAUUUUUUUUCCUUACGGGGUUUUUUGUUUUUGGCAACUCUCGUCACGUCCGGGAAGAGAGUAGCUCCUGGGACUGUAGAGUUGUUUUCACUAUGCCUAAUCGUACAUGAACUGAACUGCUCGAUAAGAUAGCUCCAGCAAACUCCCGGACCACCUAAAACAUCUUAUAUUGUGGGACCCAGUAUGAUGUUUCAGCCUUUAGGUGCAUUUCCCCACUCAAGGAAAAAAAACUCAUUGAUGCUGAACUGCUCUCCAAAUAAAUGGCACGAUGUGCUGACACUUUGAUGGCGAGCCGGUGGUGUUUGGAUACACCCCACUAAAAUUUAGCACCUGCCACAUCGGAUGUUUGAAUGCUAAUUAGAAAUAUUAAAUAUAGGCUAAUUACAAAACUAAUUGCACAUGGAGUCUAAUUCACGAGACAAAUCUAUUAAAACUAAUCAGUCCAUGAUUUGAUAAUGUGGUGCUACAGCAACCAUUUGCUAAUGACAGAUUAAUUUAGCUUAAUAGAUUCGUCUCGCGAAUUAGCACAAGUUCCGUAAUUAGUUUUAUAAUUAGCUUAUGUUAGUCCUCCUAAUUAGCCUCCGAAUAUUCAAUGUGAUACUGCUAAAAUUUUGCACUAAUGUCCAGGCAACCCCUUAGCGUCGGCGUCUCAACGUCGCUACUCCGCAAAUAUCUCUGCCAUGGCUGCGGAAUAUCGCCGGCAACUCGCUGGCCGGCGGCCACGCGUCCCAUGAAUCUCGAUCGCACAGUGCAGAGCCCUCUCGGAAGACGCAGCAAGAGAAUCCACUGAUCCACAGCAAAAGGGCACGUCAACAUGGACACUUGUAGUAGUGUCCGAGACGGCGCUCCAUCCCGCUCCGUUGCCGCCGUCACGUCGUUCAGUGUCCAUUCCAUUCGCGACGUCGUCAUCACGCACGGCCGAUGAGAGCCAAUCACGAACGGCUAUCCCACACCUCCGACGGAAAAAAUAUCUUCGCAUCCCCUGGAACUGGAAUGGAAUGGAUUCAUUGCUGCGUCAUCUUGUCUGUUAUAUUACCUCCACUGGCCAAUCAGCAUAUCCUCCCCCGACCCCAAUCAUGCAAUCGCCCAAUCGCUUCUUGGGCUCCAAGCGUCACCAGUGGCGUCACGGUUGUAGUUUGGUACUUUGGUUCACUGCAAAUGCAGGGCUUCCCAGGUUCAAAUUUCGCUCAACACGUGCAACAGGAGGAGGAUUCCAAGACUAGUGGCACAACAAUCGUCUGAACAUAAUCUCAGGGGCUGUUUGGAUACGAGGUGCUAAACUUUAACAGUGUCACAUCGGAUGUUCGGAUGCUAAUUAGGAGGACUAAACAUGAGCUAGUUAUAAAACUAAUUGCAAAACCUUGUGCUAAUUCUCGAAAAUCAUCUAAUCCACAUAUUCCUACAGCCUGUGCCAACUAGAUGCCAGAGAACUAGUGCUUCCUCCGUUCCACUUGUAUAAACGUAUAGCUAUUCUACAUUGAUAAAACUUAAUGGACGUUAGACGUACCCUANNNNNNNNNNNNNNNNNNNNNNNNNNNNNNNNNNNNNNNNNNNNNNNNNNNNNNNNNNNNNNNNNNNNNNNNNNNNNNNNNNNNNNNNNNNNNNNNNNNNCCUUGGGGGAGAAUUUCGAAACCUCCGGUUAAGUUUACCACCUGUCACAUCGGAUGUUUGGAUGCUAAUUAGGAGGAGGAACCAUGAGCUAAUUACAAAACCAAUUGCACCAAUGUAGAUAAUUCGCGAGACGAAUCUAUUAAGCCUAAUUAAUCCAUCAUUAGCAAAUGGUUACUGUAGCACCACAUUGUCAAAUCAUGGACUAAUUAGGCUUAAUAGAUUCGUCUCGCGAAUUAUACUCCAUUUGUGCAAUUAGUUUUGUAAUUAGCUUAUGUUUACUACUCCUAAUUAGCAUCCAAACAUCCGAUGUGACAGGUGUUAAACUUUAACAGGUGUUUCCCAAACACCCCCUCAGGCUUAUGCUGCGUUUGGAACGCACGGAUGUUUCUUGAUUUUUCAGAAACUAAUCUUAUUUACCACUCCAUCCAUUUUAAAUUAUAGUUCGCUCUAAUUUUAUUUAAUUUUAUUCUAAGUUAAACUUUUAUAAAUUUGACCAGUUUUGUGUAAGAAAACCUACAACAUCAAAUUAAAUUCACCGAAUUCACCAUAAAUAUGUCUUAACUUCAAUUGUUUGGUAUACUGUAAUUUUAUUAUAUUUUUUAUAAAAUUAGUUAAUAUUUAAAAGAAUUGAUUUAGAACGAAACUAAAGUGAAGGGUGGUACGGAAUUUUUGUGCUCUGCACAUGUACUUAGGUUAAGUUGGACGACCAAAACUCCAAGCUGUUGAGUCAUAAUAAAAGGAUCAAGAAUAAAGUGGGUCACUGAUUAUUUAGAUUUCGGCACAAAAUAGUGGGGUAGGUUAAAGUAAACAAAUUAUCCAAAAAUGAAGGGGCCCAAAGGAGUAUAUAAGACCUGGCACCCAAAUCUGCUCGCGCCCGCCGGCCAGUGCCUAUAUCUCGCCUCUGCGGCUCAGCCUCACUCCCUCUCAACAGACCCAGUAAAAUAUUUCCCAUUCCGUCGGCGAGAUGGCCCACCGCCGCCUGCUCGUCCUCGCCGUCCUCGCCCUCGCGGCCACCGCCGCCGCGGCCAAGUCCGGCUUCGCCGAGUCCAACCCGAUCCGCCCCGUCACCGACCGCGCGGCCUCCGCGCUCGAGUCCACCGUCUUCGCCGCGCUCGGCCGCACCCGCGACGCGCUCCGCUUCGCACGCUACGCCGUCAGGUGAGCACCCCGGUCGUCUAAUCCAACGGCCCAACCCGCCCGCCGUCCGCUCUCCCGUCGCGUUUCUCCUGACCGCACGAAUUGACCCGCCGGCGGCGGCGGCGGCGGUGUGUGACGCAGGUACGGCAAGAGCUACGAGAGCGUGGCGGAGGUCCACAAGCGGUUCCGGAUCUUCUCCGAGAGCCUCGAGCUCGUCCGCUCCACAAACCGGAAGGGCCUCCCCUACCGCCUCGGCAUCAACCGUAGGACCUUGACCUCCUCCUUCCUCCUCGUCCAAUCUGCAACGCGCGCUCCAGCGCAAUCCCGGAUUCUCACACGUUUCUCAUCCGUGGCUGAUUUUUAGGCUUCGCGGACAUGAGCUGGGAGGAGUUCCGCGCGACCCAGCUCGGCGCUGCGCAGAACUGCUCCGCCACGCUCGCCGGCAACCACCGGAUGCGCGCCGGCGCCGCGCUCCCGGAGACUGUAAGUUACUGCUGAAACUGCUCGUCACAGAAAAUCCCCUAUCGUAUUGUAACGUAGCGGUUUGCUCCCAAACGGGCGGGACGAGUAGGUUGCAGCCAGGUAGGUACUGUGAUUUGUAACCGCAUGAGUCACAUGGGAGACAGGCUUGCGUGGGUUCAGUUUAUUUAGGCUUAAAAGGGAGUUUGUGGUAUGAAGCUUGUGAGUGGCUGCAGGAUUUGCUCAUUGCUUUCGUGCUGUGUGGUGUCAAGUGUUUGGCUAUUUGCUCAGCCGGCUCCACCACGAUGAGAAAUGUCUUUUAGCCACUUUCAUCCUUGGUCCCGGCACAUGAUGCAGUUACUCCUCAGAUGACCCCUCUUUCUAUCUAUGUCAACUGAACUUCCCUACAGCUGGUUGUGUCUCCGUAUUCCAAGAAAACUGCAAAACUGUUUAGUGAUUAAUUGACUAAUUUGUAUGGAAAUGAGGUGGAAUGGUAGAGUUCAUGCUUGUCACUUGUUAGUAAUUAUUUUAAAGGAUAUUGGUGCAGCAAUUCUGUCAUGCAUCGUACAUGUAAGGUUGUGGUCCUUGCAGUUUAGAUCUGAGCCAUGCGAGGUAGUUACAAUUAAACAAUUACAAUUAGUUUUGGAUGCUGUAAAUUUUAGACAUUCUGCGGGAUAUGUGUGUGAUGUUGCUCUGGCUGUUGCAGAAAGACUGGAGGGAGGAUGGGAUCGUGAGCCCAGUGAAAAACCAGGGCCACUGUGGAUCUUGCUGGACCUUCAGGUAACUACUGAAAAAUCAGCACCCUCUUUCCCGUUCUCUCAUUUCGUAUCGUUCUUAGACAAAACUGGAGGAAGAGUUUGUCAUUACUGCUGUGCCUUCUUCCACAGCGCACUAAAAAGUAAUGGUAUAAGGGAAUUAUUUCUGUGAUGGUUGUUUGGUGCAUCCUUACUCUACUAGUAAAAGGUGCCUAUGAUAUCCGACAGGAAGUACUAAUUGGAGUCUGCAUCCAAAUUGCUUGCAUGGGCCUCGUGUCCUUUAAAUUGAUCGUGGUUUUGAAAGUAAAAAGGGUGGGGCAGUUUCAAAACAUGCUGCUUCUAGUAAAGAAUUUAAAACUACUUUAGGUGUGGUCCACCUGUCCAGGAUGGGUGCUGAUAAAUAUAUCUAUUGGUGAAGCUGAUAAUUGCUUGCUGUCAAGAGUAGUAGUUCAGAUCUUUCACCACAGAAACAAUCACAAGACUAUUUAAAAAAUAUAUUUUUGAAAGAAAGAAAUGAUUAAAAAUGUUCAGCAGGGGGAUUAAACUACUGCACUCGUGAGACAUGCAGGCAAUUAAAUAAUUGGAUCAACCAACCAACCCGUUCUGUUGGGCUAUGCUUUGCUUUCAGAUCUGUUCCAGUAGUCAACCCAUGAUUAUUUUGUGAAACUGUUCAUGUUUCCUGCCAACUAAAUUCAUUAGCAAAUAAUAGUUCUAAUUUAAUAUUGCCAAUGCAUUAUGAAGCUUUGUAUGCAUACAUGCUAAUGCAUUAUACAGUAUUAUCCUAUAGUGCAAGCGCAGAGGUCCGUGGAGACUGCUACAUAAAUUACACGAAAAAAUAAUCAAUUAAUAUCUAAGGAAAAUUAAUUGCUGCAAUGCAAGUCCAACUGGCCGGUUGAUCUGAAUACUUGUAAUAAAUUAACAUAUUAAUGAGAGCCGUUAUACAGACCAGAGUCUCUAAUAAAGAUGCCACUCUGAUCCCCUGUAAAAGUUUGUGUUCAUGGAUGAUAUCCUUGAGGGAGUGUAUUCAUAGUGAAAAGUUAAGUCAGUAUCACUCUAAUUUUGUGCUUUGCAACAUUUUUGUGUCUAUCUUCUCCUUUUAGGACAGAAAAAAAUCAACAAAUCACAAUGCAAAUCUGGUAGACACAAAGUGAUAGAUAGAUAGAGAAACAAGGUCACUCAAGAGAUAAAUAGACACAUCAUAUUCUUAGUGUCAGAGUAUUCUAAACUUUCAAGGUUACUUUGUUUGAUUACUCCUUUAUUCAUGUCAAUUUAUUCAGAGGUAGAUGAAUAGCAUAAAGUUUUUUAUUCUGAGAGUUGAUUUGUAGUUUUGAUUUUUUGUGAUUGAUUGGUCUGUAUUUCCCUUCUGCUAUUCCUGAAACUGAAUAGAUAUCAUUUUUGCUAUUGGAUUUUUCUCACCAGCAUCCAGUUCCAAACUGUUGCCAAAGAUAGAAAUGAUAUUGGACCACAGCUUCAUGGUGAAAAGGAAUCCAUGUCAAGAAACUGUGUUAGCACUUAUACAUCAAUCCUGAAAUAACCUACAAUCGUAUUAUCAGAUUUAUUCCUCACAAACAAAGAGGCAAAGGGCAAACGCAUGUAGGGAAAUUUCAUAGAAUGUUGAGGCACUGUAGUGUCAACUUCUUCUAAACUAACAAAAAUAAUUAAAAAUGAAUCAAUAUUUCAGGGACAUACCACAAAGCUGAUAUAUAUUGCUAGCUUUUGAUGACAUUAUUGGAUGGUCAUGUUGCAGUUACAAAAAUAAGAGAUAAAGUUCUUAAGCAUUUGAAUAUAAUUCAGUUAUUUUUUAAGCUGUCUACCAUUAGCCAUUUCUUAUAUUUCCUAUUGCAUGCUCUUUUUGCACUUUUCUUAUCUGCCGUGCACAGAAAUGGCCAUCUCAGCAUGCUUUCUGAAAGUAGGAAAAGGGGGUAGUGCAGACAAAAUAAUUAAAUUCCUCUGAUGCUUAUUCUGGCAGCACUACUGGUGCACUUGAGGCAGCAUACACCCAGGCAACUGGCAAGCCCAUCUCUCUUUCUGAGCAACAGCUUGUUGAUUGCGCUGGUGCAUACAACAAUUUCGGAUGCAACGGAGGCCUUCCAUCCCAGGCCUUUGAAUACAUCAAACACAAUGGUGGUCUUGACACUGAGGAAUCUUACCCAUACCAGGGUGUAAAUGGAGUCUGCCAUUUCAAGGAUGCAAAUGUUGGAGUCAAAGUUUUGGACUCAAUUAACAUCACCCUGGUGAGGAGAACCUCAUUCUAAAUUUCAAUUGAGUGUUAUCUACAAUGAACUAUUCUGAGUUUGUACUUAUUUCUGUUGUUGUGGUAAGGGUGCUGAGGAUGAACUGAAGGAUGCUGUUGGUCUGGUUCGCCCCGUUAGCGUCGCCUUCGAGGUGAUCAAUGGUUUCAGGCUGUACAAGAGUGGAGUUUACACUAGUGACCACUGUGGAACUACUCCAAUGGUUAGUUACAAUAUCCUUGUGUCAUCAACCUACGCUACCAUUUGAUUUGCUUAUGUAGAAUUUGUCUUUCAAUUGCUCCUAUCCAAUCACGUUAGGACUUAUUUUUAGAUGAAGGAAGUAUAACUUCCAGCCUCUGCACCAACUAAGUAUACACGCAGCUAAUCACGUUAGGACUUCUUGUUAUCCAGUUGCUUUGAUCUUAAACUAUGAAUUCUUUUGGCAUCACUAGGAUGUGAACCAUGCUGUUCUGGCUGUUGGCUAUGGUGUCGAAAAUGGUGUCCCCUACUGGCUCAUCAAGAACUCAUGGGGCGCUGACUGGGGUGAUGAGGGUUACUUCAAGAUGGAAAUGGGCAAGAACAUGUGUGGUAAGUAUUCCAUAUUCACUUCCAUAACCUCUCUAUACAAAGAGAGAUCUUGCGUUUCAGAAUGUGGUGCGCUCGUGACAUGAUACUGACCUGACUCAAAAUGUUGCAGGUGUUGCUACUUGUGCGUCGUACCCCGUUGUUGCGGCAUGAGGCUCGCACGGAUUGCCCCAUGGUUUGCUUGGCGUCAAUAAUACAUGUUUAGCCGGAGCAUGGUGAUAGGUUAUAUAAAUACCUUGAUGUGAAUAGAAAAUCGUGAAGGGAAUGAAUUAGCCCCUGCUUGUACGUCUCUCCCGUAUGGUUGUGUAGGUAGAUUGUCAGCUGGGGGUUCCAAACUACUCAUACUAUACGUGUCCAUGCUAUUUUAUUGAGACGAAAUUACCAUUAAUCAUGGUACCAUAUGCAGAUUAUUGAUCGUCAUGUUCAUGUCUGAAUUAUCUUCAUUUGGGUUCAGUUCCUCUACAUUGUUUUUCUAGUGGUUCGUUUACAUUGUUUGAUUUGAAAAACGAGCUACCAUUUUUUAGAUAAAGGAUAGAAAUCCGGCUUUUAUAUCCACAUGCAAAGACUAAGAAAGAAAGUUAGAAAGACUACGCUUCAAACUUCUUCUACUACGUCCUUGUUUCAAGUUUUCAAACUUCUUCUACUACGUCCUUGUUUCAAACUUGUUUUUAUUUGUGCAUCAGUCAUCCUUCGUAUCACUCGUCUACUUCGAAACUUUGAUGCUAGAAUCAUCCUCAAGCACCCGACAACAUUCCCACUGAACACAAUCGUCAACACAAGAGAAGUCACGACGGUAAGAGCUACUUACGGUGAGGGAAGCAACACCGUAUAUAGGAUCCCCAGUAAGAACUACUUACAGUGAGGGAAACAACACCGUACAUACAUAGGAUCCCCAAACGACGUCUCCAAUGAGGUCACGACGUUGGAGACGCUGCCGCCACAAUCGGCCAAUCAAAAGCCGACCAACCGGAAUAGAGUUUUCAUUGGGAAAUCCAACAAUACCACGGCAAGGCCUUCGAGAAGAAAAACGACGCCUGACAACGCCACCAUUACCGACACCAGCAUAUUAGCAUAUACUAGGGUAAAACCUUUUCGCCUGGUAAUUCUGCACAGUUACAAUCCACCGGAAGCGCCCGACACACCAUGACCACCGAAGGCCUGCUGCUAGGACCACCCAAGGUGGUGUUGAGUGGGUUCUUGGGUGCAGAGGUCCGUAUAUAAAUUCAUUCCACUAUUCUAAAAGUUGUCUUAUUAAAAUAAAAAAUAAAAGGUGGGAGUAAUAUGGACCAACAAACACAUACGGUAACUUUUGCAUUUCGUCAUCAAAUUGACGUGCCUACGGUCUACCCAUGUGAAACAGUAGCUGAACGAUUUUGGUCUAUAUUUAUGCAUCCGCUUAAUGAGCAUUACGAGCGACCAAAUUUGAAACCCGCUGUGAAAUAGAACACGCAGCAAACCCGUGGAAGGGUGCCUCUUCACCUCCCGGCUGUUCGAUCGGUUCCCCACCGAAGGGAGGUGCCCCUUCGUGUGAACCAGCGCAUCUUUUCACCGCGGUCUUUUUACCACACUCAACCACGGCUAGUGUCGCCUACAUAUAUGCGAUCCCCAUUCGGCCAUAUAUUCCUGCGUCUUCGACUCUUCGUUUCAUCAAUCCUGGCACCGUCGUCGCAGUCCCAACAUCCACAAGAGGGCACAGCACUGAUCCACACCAAACUGGUGAGUUUCUUGAUUCCUACAAGUCCUGUCGAGCUCCCCUUCUUUUCUUUCUGCUACUGGAUUUUGCGAAGUCCUUCCGUGAGUUCGUUCUCUGACACAUCCAUCCACCGCAUUGAGAUCAUCAGUCAAGCCAGUUUUCGUGUUACAGUUUCAUUCCAUUCUGUUGAACUCCCUUUGAUUUUUUUUUCCUGUCAAACGAAUUCCCUUUGAAUCUUAAAAUGUUGCGUUGGCCGUGGUUCGUGCUUCGAUCGUUCGAUUGUUCAGAGCACCAAAUCCUGAAUUCCUGGUGUUCAUGUGACAUGUGUCUGACUGACAUGAGCGGUGAGUCCAUAGGCGAAUUGGGGGAGUAGAAACUGUUCAGCUCCAGCUGGUCUCGGCCCGUUGGGCCUGCGAUCUGCCGAUCUCCGAGCCUUGCGGCGUAAGCCAUCGUCACCACCUUACAUUAGCGCCGACUUAACCGCGAUUAACUGGUUGCUUAACUAAAAGCUUCCUUGCUGGGAACGGCACCUGACCAAUAAAACGGCAGGAGAUCCUACAAAGGCCUGAUCAACUCAGUCGUCGGCAUCGAUCCCAUUACCUUGUCAAUCACUCCCAUUUGCGCGUGUCAGUGAGAGUGGGUCCCUUUCACCUUUGGUGUAAAAAGUCCAAAUCGACUCUGUUUUUCUUGGAAACAUUUUAUUCUUUUUAUUAUCCUCCCCUCCAUGUGAUGUGACGGCUUCCUCUGGAUCUCGCCCUUGCCUUGCCGGAGAAGAAACACAGCUGUGACCGCGACUACUUAACAGGAAGCCAUUCUCACGCCGCAGGGCCCAAGUUAGCAAGCACUCAGUUGCGCCGCCGUUGCCUUGCUUGUUCUUGGAUUCUUGUUGCAGCUAAUCGCUUUAGGUUGUUAUUACUAGCAUGGAUUUUCGUUGAUUUUUCGUCUGAAAUAGAAAUCGAUAACAACAAAAAACUCUUGAUGACGAUUAUAUGUUCGGGUUUUAUAAUCUUUAAUUCACAGCAUAUAACAAUCUGUAUCCGAUGAACGGGUUUUGAUGCUUCCCUUGUUCAAUCCUGGCAGGGACUGCGACUAUUAGCCCCUGAUUUUGACCUGCCACGAUCAAGCUCACUUCUUGACGGAACCAAGCUCAGUUACCAGUCGAAUCAUGACGAGAAACGCGUGGUCCGUGCUGCUGAUUUUGAUCUGUUUAUGGGUUUGCCCUCUGAGGACCAGUGGAUUCUCAUGGAACAUCUUCUCCUCCUCGUCGCCGGGCUCGUCGGCGAAGGCGGCUAACCAGCGCGCUCCAAUGAUGGAGCUAGAUGGCGCGGUGGCCGACUUCACCAUGGACGGCGCCAACAACCCGCGAGGGCUGAAGCUGCUGGAGAACGCGCAGAGCAAGCUCGCCGGGCCGAGGAACUGCUGGCAGGAGGCGUACCGGAAGCUUUUCGCCAGCUGCGGCGACAUCAUGGCGGAUAAGGAGAGGCAGUCACGCCUGGCCUGGCACCUCAGCAGCUGCUUCCAGGAGGACUCGGGGCGGCCGCCCUUCCCGUCCUGCGCCGAGGGCUCCAGGAUGGUCCAUUGCCGCAGCCGGCUGAGUGAUUCCGAGGGGAAGGUGUUCCUUGAGUUCUUCCUCGAGACCAAUACCCUGUGCCACCAGUUGCAGUAAGUUUUUCUCUCUCUUAGUUUUCCAUUUUCAAAUUAGAUUUUUUUCAGUAAUAAAUCUGUCUGGUUGAUUUGUUCAGGGCUGAAGCGUUCAAGCACAACACAGAGAGGCUCGUCAAUGACCUGACAAGGACAUCCAAGUCUGCCGAGGAGAAGCUCGAGGUGAUCGAGGAGAGGUCAGAUCAAAUUAUUAAGGAGUCUGAAAAGGUUCAGGACAAGAUAUCAUCGAUCGAGGAACAAACCGACCGUCUGGCAGAGACGUCGAAGAACGUGGGGGAGCAGAUCAAUGACGUGCUGGAUCACUCGAAGGCCAUCUUUGAGCAGUCCAAGGAGAUCGCCAAAGCUCAGGCAGCCCUCAAGGAAGGGCAAACGGAGAUGAGGGAGAAGAUCGACGCAGGCAUGGCGCGCGUCGAGGAGUCGUAUGCGAGCCUUGGUAAAGGGAUGGAUAACCUGAAAGAGGAGACAGGAUACGUUAAGAGGGAAAUAAAAAGUGUUGGCGAUUCAAUGUCUUCAAAGAUGCAAGAUUUGCAGAGCAAGGCUGAUGAUAUUGGGAGUGUGGCUGGCAAGUCAUUGGAGAAUCAGAUGCAGCUGCUGGAUCGUCAGAGCCGGACCAUGGAAGGAUUGAAUAAUCUCCACAGCUUUCAAGCAAAAGCUCUUGAAGAAAGCAGGUAUUGUAUUUGUGUGCUGCUCAUUUUGUAUUAUUGUUCAUGGACGAAUUAUUAAUAUACAUCUGAAAAAAAAAGAUGCUGAUUAAACGAGCAUUUGCAGGGAAACAGUUCAGAAACUUGCGCAGUUUGGCCAACGCCAGCAGGAAGAGCUAUUGGCCCGGCAAGAACAGAUCCGGCAAGCCCACGAUCAUCUCAUCCAAAACUCGCACUCAAUACUGGAAGCACAGGUUCUUAUCCAUCUCAUUCUGAAAAAUCUAAAUAAUUUUGUCCCAUUUGGGUCUUCAAAUCUCCCACCUACUUAUUGAAUUUUUCACCCGCAGGAAGAGUUCAGAGCAAAGCAGGCCAACAUUUUUGCCGCUCUGGAUAAACUGCACAUCCUGCACAACGCCAUCCUAGCCGAGUCUCGCUUCAUCAAGGCAUUCUUCUUCUACUGCUGCAUCGUGUUCCUCAUCUACAUGCUCACUAGUGCAAAGCAAACGUUCAGCAUCAGGGGCCAGCUCUACUUUGGUAUGAUUUCAUCCCUGUAAUUCACAGCUUCUAUGCUAGAGUUAAUUUCUACAUCAGGUGAAUGCCCAUUUUUGCUGACAUCCAUGUCUGCCCCGUCAGGUCUUUGCAUCACAUUAGUCCUGGAGAUUGGGCUGAUCAAGAUCGGCGCCGACGACUUCGACAAGCAGUUCUGGAUCAUGUCCAAGGUGUUCUUGGUCAGAAUGCUGUUUCUCGGGGUCGCCACUGUCCAGAUCCUUCACUCUAUAUUCACCUACAGGUAUGUCAGUAUGUGACAAACGAACUGCAUAUUCAGAAUUUCAGUAGCAUGUUGACCAAAACCGUUGCUGCAAUUUUAACUUGCUGAUUACCCUUCAGGGACUACGAGGCGCUGAACCACCGGCUCCUCCAGACGCUGGUGGAGAAGGUCCGGGCGCUGGAGAAGAACGCCGGCGGGAGGGCGCUGCCGUACGACACGGAGGAGAGCGAGGGGAGCCUGAUGGAUUACUCGUGGGUCUUCGACGAGCUGGCGGACGAGGUGGACAGCAAGGUGGAUCCAAGCUACGUGUUGCCGCCGGUGCGGCCGCCCCGGACGUGCCACGAGGUCGUGUUGCCGGAGGAGGUCGGCGAGAACUCCAUCACCACGUUGGUGGGCCGGAGGUACAAUCUACGGUCGCGGAAGUAGGCAUAGUUUUUGUGUUGGGAGGAGGCCUCUUAGGUGCCAAAUGAGAUGUUGACGAAAAUUUGUUCACAUGAUGUUUUAGCAUACUGUGAUGAAGCUACGAUCCCGAAAUAAAGUUACGCUGGAUUAAUAUGCAUAGUCAAAAUCUGAUUGAUUCGCCAUUGUUGUUCUAACGUUUGUUGAGUUUUCAUUCCCACGCUUCUUGUGAGAGAUGAUGAUCUUUUAACAGGAGAGAAGAUGCGUUAGAAGGGCCCAAGGAAGGCCUGAGUUUUCUCUACCUUUCAACGGCCCAGAACGAAAAGGCCGUUGAAGCAGCAGUCCAUCAGUCGCAGGCCGAGUUUGACAUGGGCCCGUUUCCUACCCAGAAAAAGGCUCAUCAGUCAUCACGAGCUCACGACAGGUCGACGGCAAACCUUUUUCCUCUAAUAAAAAAAACGACAGUAAACUUUUCGCCGCCAGCUACUACGACUGUCGCUGUACGGGUUGAUACUGUUAGAGUCGUAGAAGAAAAUACCGUACCAUCUCAAUCGAGAAAGCACGAAGAUAAAAGCUAUUUGCAGGCACCAGUUACCAGCUUAAAAAUUCAACCUAGGCAGUCAAAAAAGUUGACCCACAUGCAGCAAGCCGAACUGCACAGACCUGAGCCAUCGCGCUCCCCAAUCCCCAUCGUACUAUUUCCCAGUUCCCACACAUUUUCCCCGUAUACCACCAUUCACGCCGUACACGUACACGUCUUGAGUUGCUGGUACGCCACGGAACGGCACGUGUAGCCGGGUCAUCCCCGGCCAGUCGGCAGCCGCCACCUCGCGCCUGGUCCCCGGGCCCCGGCCACGUGCCGCCGCCGGGCGCGGCCGCUCCAGGAGCGCGCGCGCCGCGUGUCCCGCCGGAGCGGCACGGCCGCGAAGCCCGAGUGGGCAACGGCCGCGCACGCGCCGCGAGGUGCCGAGGUCCGGACCAGAGUACCAUACGCCCAUACCGAACCGUUUCGUCCUGCUCUUGCGUAUUGCGGUCUUGCCCGCCGAAAACGGAAAGGAACCGCUUCGUCAUGCUCCAGGACAGGACUCAUCCAUGUUCUGCGAGCUCAAAAGAAAGAAGAAAAAGGUCUCCUCCAGGUUCUGAGAGCUCGAAAGAGUGAGAGCUUCAGGUGUUUCCUCUCGUAAAAAAUCUCGCUGGUAGCUUCGUUUACUCACUGUCAUACGCCACACUGCAAUAACUCUAAGUUCCGUAAGUUCCGUUUGAAUGUCGGUAUUGGAAGACUAGACUUUGGUAUUGAAUUUAACUCAAUACCAGAUCGGAAAUAGCUCACAAUACCAAAACGAUUAUUUAGAUGCCUAUAAAAUUGCUUGAAGGAAUUCAACUAAGCUUCAAAUAUCCGAUCUUAUUUGGAUAUACAUACAGUAGAAUUGGCAUUGGCUAUCUUCUUCUCUCCGGAUCUCUAAGCGUGAAUGCAUACAUCCAAAUGUACAGUUUGAAAGCGGAAAUUAGAAUAGUGGUUUACGGUGAUUGGGUUCAGUCGGUGCCAAUAAACUUAUUCUUUAAUUAACGCCUGAUGGGAAAAUUUGCCCUCCGAAUCUCCGGGGCUUCUGCAACUGCCUAUGGGAGUUUUUGGGCGUGCAGGAACAGUGGAUUAGAAAAUGACCACCACGCCACUCCACACUCUUCUGCCUUCUAGAGAUAGUGGAGUAGCACCUUCUAGAAAAUCUUUUCUUAUUCUUUUUUUUUGUGCUGAUAUUUGUUUCGCAUUGCUUUUAUCACUAUGAUAAUGGCGUAUUAUAUUGGCAUCACAUCGGCCAUCAUUAGCUGUGGGCAGGGGACGUGAAUGAAGUUUUGGAUAGGGCGAACUUUAACAAAGACGCGUCUCGGUUUGUCCAAUGGCUUUAGGCGUAAAGUAGGUUACAGUAACACCACCAUGGAUGUCAUUACCCAUUUCUUUUGGAUAUAAAAAGCCGCUACCCGAGUAGGCGUCUAGUCGACAGACCUACUUUGGGGGUGUUUGGGAACACCCUAUUAAAAUUUAACACCUGUCACAUCGAAUGUUUGGAUGCUAAUUAGGAAUACUAAACAUAAGCUAAUUACAAAACUAAUUGCACAGAUGGAGUAUAAUUCGCGAGACGAAUCUAUUAAGUCUAAUUAGUCCAUGAUUUGACAAUGUGGUGCUACAGUAACCAUUUGCUAAUGAUGGAUUAAUUAUGCUUAGUAGAUUCGUCUCACGAAUUAGCACAAGGUUCUGCAAUUAGUUUUAUAAUUAGCUCAUGUUUAGUCCUCUUAAUUAGCAUCCGAAUAUCCGAUGUGACACUGUUAAAGUUUAGCACCUCGUAUCCAAACAGCCCCUUUGCAAUCGCAUCACAAGUAAGAUUUCUACCACCAAAUUUUAUUCUGUUGGCAAAAACAAAUCUUUCCAAACUCAGACAAAAUUUACGUCAAGAACUUAUGAUUGGCCGUGGAAACAGGUGCCACUACCUUUUUAGGAUUUACCCCCGAUCGUGGGUACAUAGAUCGCAAAGUCGGUGAAAUAUGAAGUGGCAAAUCUUCAGUUGCAAUGAAUUGGCAGUUACUAAUUGGAGAUGAGUAGUGCAGUACGAGUAGUACCAAUGAGUAAACAUAAGGUCAAGCCUGCACCAAAUCUAACCAGCUCAAGCAGUUUUCUUAAACUCUACUUUAGCGAGCUUGAAUUUAUGUCCUUGUUAUAAUUUUGAAAUCUCUCGAAGUUCAGGGAAAACAACAGCUAGAAUCUUUGAUCACCCUUGCCGAGAGGACCCAGCAAAAAAGGGCCAAAAUUCCGGCAACCCGGUAGAAGAUUCUUCCGGGAGGGGUAGUUCCGACAUUUCGGAAGCCAGCCGCCUUCCUAUAAUUAGCGAGGAGGGUCCCAGAUUCUUUCUCUUCACGCACACGCAGCAGCCGAAGCGACGCAACCCAGAGAUUUCCCCAUUUCUUGGCUUUCUCCUUGCUCUUCCCGCGAGCGCCCGCCCCCAAAUUCGCCCGCCUGAUCGCGCCGAGCUCAUUUUCCGGCGAAGAAUUCGUACUCUGCAGCUUUGAUUUGCCUCCAAUCUCAGCCGAUUUCCACCUCCAAAUAGUACAGCUUUUUUUUUUUGGUUCGAUUCAUUGUUGUUAUAGCAAGUAGAACACCAAAUUCGUCGACUUCAUCUCACCGAGAUCAAAAUCUUGGCACCGAAUUCUGUGCCCCACCACGGCUUCGACCCCAAUCCCGUCUGGUUACAGCUCGGAAUUCCCACUCCGAACCGUUGGACAAUUUGUGGUAACUGCAAGGAGUUUUGAGUUCGGGCGCUUCGAGCUCGUCGGAGGCAAACCGGAUUCCGGUGGCCAUGUCGUUACCCGCGAUUUCCCUGUACACUAGUCCGCCAGCUGCGGUCUACUCCGAGUUCGACACGAGCUCCCGUGGUUCGUCGCCGUGCACCACCGCCGCGCCGCCGCCGCCGGCCGCCUCCCACCGUCUGCCUGCCGGCGGCGGUGGCCUCUCUUGCCUUUUCUCCUCGCCAGCCGCGGCGGCUGCGCCGCCCCGCGCCCCGGCUCACGACGAGCUCGGCGCGCUGUGGCACGACAGAUCCGACGACCUGAGCGUCGGCGGCGGGGGCGGCUACUCCUACUCCCACUCGUCCUCACCGCUCAAGUGGCGGGACCUGCACCACCACCACCACCACAGCCCCGUAUCGGUGUUCCAGGGUCCGUCGUCCUCUUCGCCGUCCCGGAGCCCGCCGGCUUCUUGGCUCGCUGGCCGCGACCGCGACCGCCUCUUCGCUGGCUUCGUGCGCAACGCGCUCGGCUCCUGCGUUGACUACGCGCCGGCCACCAGCCCUCGGCCGGAGGUCGGCGCCGGCGAGCUCGCGUUCGAGCUCGACGAGAACCUCGCGGAGGCGAGCCCAGCCUGCGAGCCGUACGCCCGAGAGCUGCUCGCCAGUGCCCAGGAUCGCCACCGCAUCUUCCACGAGGAGGUCGUCGUGAAGGCCUUCUUGGAGGCUGAGAAGGCUCACCGUGGCCAGGUCAAAUCACAAAUUCCAACCUCUAGCUGGAAAUUGUCCGUUCCUGGAUAGUUUUGUGCGUUAGUUACUGAAUUUUUUUCUGCUUUUGUUCUGUCAUUAGACGCGGGCGAGUGGUGAUCCAUACUUGCAACAUUGUGUGGAGACUGCCGUGCUACUGGCCAAGAUAGGCGCAAACGCAGCGGUUGUCUCGGCUGGGCUUCUGCACGACACCAUUGAUGAUUCAUUCAUUGACUAUGAUCACAUCUUCCACAUGUUUGGUGCUGGGGUUGCUGAUCUCGUGGAAGGGGUACGUGUUCCUUCUCUCUUGGAUUUCGAUCAUUUGUUUUAGUGGGAUUGGAAAGUAUUGUAAUCAAGUUGUUGGCUGAAUCAAUUGCAAUUAUUUGAUCUCAAUUAUGAUGAUCUACUCCCUAUAUAUAUAUAUUCAAGUCAAUGAUUAUGUACUGAGUUCAUUUAACUUGUAUUAUCUUAUAAGCACCUAAUGAGAAAUGAUCCAUUUGGAUCAACCCAAUGUGUGACUUUGGUGAUAUGAUGUGAAUUGUUUAGCUAACCACAAUAGCACAUUGUUUAGUUUCUUGCAUUGUUCCUACAAUCACAGUGUCAAUAUAUUUUGUCAAUUUGCGCUGAGUUGCUUGCAUUCUUUUGUUGGCAUGUCCAUUUGAAAAGUUCACUUUUAUCUGGCACUAAGUUCUCUUGCUAGCUCCAUUGUCCUUAUGGUUUUUGUCUGAUUUGUUCAGGUUUCCAAGUUAAGCCACCUGAGCAAACUUGCUCGUGAUAACAACACAGCAAGCAGAACUGUUGAGGCAGACCGCUUGCAUACAAUGCUUCUUGCAAUGGCAGAUGCACGAGCUGUCCUAAUAAAGCUUGCAGAUCGCUUGCAUAACAUGGAGACCUUAGAAGCUUUACCUUUGACCAAACAACAAAGAUUUGCCAAAGAGACCAAGGAGAUUUUUGUGCCUUUGGCUAAUCGAUUAGGGAUUGCUAGCUGGAAGGACCAGCUGGAAAAUCUUUGUUUCAAGUAUUUGAAUCCAGAAGAGCACAAGGAGUUGUCAUCCAAACUUACAGAGUCCUUUGAUGAAGAACUAAUUACGUCUGCUGUGGAUAAACUUGAUAAAGGUCUGAGGGAUGCUGCUGUAUCAUAUCACAAUCUUUCUGGGAGGCACAAGAGCCUGUACAGUAUUCACUCCAAGAUGCUAAAGUAUGCCAAAUUUGCAUUGCAUAUAAUUUUAACUGUUUGAUAAUGAAAUAUUUUUUUGUGCAUUUGCUAACUGAAUUUAGUUAAAUUAUCAGGAAGAACUUGACAAUGGAGGAGAUACAUGAUAUACAUGGUCUGCGCCUCGUGGUUGAGAAGGAAGAAGAUUGCUAUAGAGCACUUAGUGUUGUUCAUAAAUUGUGGCCUCAAGUCACUGGAAGAUUCAAGGAUUACAUUUCACGUCCAAAAUUAAAUGGGUAUGCCUAGACUAAAAAAUUCAGUUUGUUCAUUGAUUUUUGCUUGAAAGAGCACGCACUGAUUUGCUUGCUACAGGUAUCGAUCAUUGCACACUGUCGUCAUGAGCGAUGGUGUUCACCCAUUUGAAGUCCAAAUUCGCACAAAGGAGAUGCAUCUGCAGGCCGAGUAUGGAUUUGCCGCGCACUGGAGGUACAAGGAAGGUACCUGCAGGCACUCCUUUGUGCUCCAAAUGGUGGAAUGGGCAAGAUGGGUUCUUACGUGGCAAUGUGAAGCGAUGAACAAAGAGCGGACUGCGUCGCUUGGCAGUAGUGAUACUGUGAGGCCACCUUGCCCGUUUCCCUUGCAUUCAGAGGACUGCCCUUACUCAUAUACCAGCCAAUGCAACCAUGAUGGACCCAUAUUUGUCAUCCUGCUGGAGCAUGAUAAGGUUAGCCUGGUUCUUUUUUAUUUUGUACAUGGUUCAUUGCAAAUGUUUAUGUUUGGACCAGUUAUCUGACGAACUUUGCACCGACAAUUUCAGAUGUCUGUCCAAGAAUUCCCGGCAAAUUCAACCGUGAUGGAUCUUAUGGACCGCAUCGGCGCCAACAGCCCAAGAUGGAGCCCCUACAGCAUUCCCAUGAAGGAAGAUCUGCGACCGAGGGUGAACCAUGAGCCCAUAAGUGACCCGAACCGGAAGCUCAGCAUGGGGGACGUGGUGGAGCUGACUCCGGCCCUGCCUCACAAGUCCCUCAGCGGGUACCGGGAAGAGUUCCAGCGCAUGUACGACCGCGGCGGCUUCGCCCUCGCAACCCGGGGCGGUGGCUCAAGACGCUGCUGACAGUAGCAAUUCAGUGUAGUUAACCUGUUGCAUCACCAUUGUACCAUUCAAAAUUCGUUGUAAAUACAUAGGCUAGGUCCUAGUACUCUACAGCCUGGUGGGUUCCGAAAUUUGUGGCUGGCCUGCGGUGGAUUUUGCACCCUGGCCUUGAACCCCCCGGAGGCUGCAGUGUGUAAUAGUAGCAGAAACGCUGUGUAGAGCUGUUCGUUUCGUUUCAGGUUUCUCCCAAGAUCUGUGGAGAGAAUGCCGUAGCUUCAGCUGUCCUUUGGGUGAUUAAGAUCUUGUGAUGUGAUGCGCCAUCAAGCAUUCAAGCUCUCGUGUGAGGGAAGCCGUGACAUCAGACUUUGCCGGUGGUGUCUGCACGGCGUCCAGGCACACGAGCUGUGUGGACCAGAAUCUAGCGGUGUCUGCUUCCCCGGUGUGGUGUAAGUUUCUGAAGAAUCUUCCGGUGUGGGAGAGGAAGGUCGGGGGUGCGAUUGGGAUCUCCCUUUGUGGCGCUCCAUGAAUCUCUCGCCGUGGGAGCCACCGCGCUUGUACACGUGGUUCGGUGGGGCGCGGCCCGGGGUUUGUGUCGCUCUGCCGCGAAACUUUCCAAAAGUUUUUGGUUGGUGGCGGCAGCGGCACCCGGCGUUGAACGUGGGAGGGGGACGGUUCGGCUGGCGCCGUUGCUCACGGCUCUACCGAAUCCUACCAGGCUACCAGCAAAGGUGGACUUGUGGGCUUGUGGCAUCUCGUUCUGGAAGCACACGAGGCCUAGUGGCAGUUAAAGUUCGUUUAGUGAUGUUAGUACACUAAUCUCACUCUCAAUUCUUCACUGACUGCAGGCCAAGCAGUUCAUUGGCGAUUGGAUUUCACUCUCCGAAUCUGUACGGCAAAUCGUCGGCGGCUAACCAGUAUCCUGAUGAGAAUAGUACGCAGUCAGCGGAUAAGAACGGGCGCGGUCGCCCCCUUUGCCGGCUACAGGCUACAGUUGAGGCGUAAACGUCUCGCCUCUACGCUCGCUACGUCUCCUCCACGUGGAGACGGACGGGACGGAGCGGGGCCGACUGCCUAGGCCGGAAACAGGCAGCUUUCACGGCGCGAUCGCCGGCCACUUGCGAAUUCCGCGCGCGAUCGCUCGCGGCCACGUUCGUCGGACCGCGCCGGGGAGGUGGCCGAUAGGGAGAUUUGGGUGAGGGUUUGUCGCGUGCGGGUCGAGGAAAUCCGUGGGAAAAGCCGCUGCCUCGCGCGCGGGUGCGUGCGUGCAUGUACCUCGUGUUACAAAACGCACGCAAGGCCGCAAGGUGCCUAGCUUGCUGUCGCGAUCGGCUCUUGCGUUUGGCAAGCGUAUCGUGUAUGUAGGUGCAAGGCCCGGUUAGAGAGUCUGUACUCCUUUUACAAGAUGUGGAAGUUAGGUCAACGGGGGCUGGGGCCACGGGCACGACGGGGCACUAUACGACUUCGACAUGGUAGUGCUGUUUUUUUGUUCUGGAAACGUGCAGGAUAGGACCGCCCGGGCCACCAACUGUAACCCACCACCCUUGAACUCAAAACUGUACUCUAGUGUCCCCCUCGAGAUCUCUUACGAAGAAAAGGUCCAGACCUGGGAUCAUAAUUCAACUGCUUCUUUUCUAGAGCAAAGAGAAGAAAGUUUGAAGAAAUUGCGCCCGAAGUCUUUUUUUUUUCUUUUUUCUUUUUACGAAAAUUGCGCUCGAAGUCUCGAUCGAUAUGGCCAGGUUGUGCAACAAAAAGGAGUGGGAAACCAUAUCAACUGGGCCUCUGAUAUAGCGUGCUGCUAUCUGGGGAUAUUUAAGUUGGGCCGAAGGCUCAGAUUGUAAAGAGGACUUCUGGGCCAACAGCAAGUGCAGCGAGAAGAAGAGUUAGCAACAGCUCCCCCUCAACAAAAAAAUUAGUAGCAACAACUUUGAGGGGAAAAUUCUAUAUAGCUUCCUACACAACUUCUGGUGUUUGAAAUUUGUGCGGAUUAGGCUCUGUUUAUUUUGGACAACCAAAAUCACUGUGCAGCACUGUAACGUACUGUAGCGUUUCGUUUGUAUUUGUAAAUUAUUGUCCAAACAUUGACUAAUUAGGUUCAAAAGAUUCGUCUCGCAAAGUACAAUAAAAUUGUGCAAUUAUUUUUUGAUUUUGUCUAUAUUUAGUACUCCAUGCAUGUACCGCAAGUUUGAUGUGACGAAGAAUCCUUUUUGCAUAGUGCCAAAGUUAGUAUUUUGGGAAUGCCUUAGAAUGAACGAGCAUGAGUGCACAUGGCGAGAGAGUAGGCAGCAACGUUCUGGGGGCAUUUGGUUACUUUUGCUUAUUUUAGCACGUGUCACAUCGAAUGUUUAGAUACUAAUUAGGAGUAUUAAACGUAGACUAUUUACAAAAUCCAUUAAAUAAGUGAAGGCUAAACAGCGAGACGAAUCUAUUAAGCCUAAUUAA
RNAcentral lists this long non-coding RNA (20893 nucleotides) under Setaria italica (foxtail millet). RNAcentral describes it as "long non-coding RNA (SITA_LNC001398)". Lineage: Eukaryota; Viridiplantae; Streptophyta; Magnoliopsida; Poales; Poaceae. The record is from RNAcentral.